UACGGAGGGUGCAAGCGUUGUCCGGAAUCACUGGGCGUAAAGGGCGCGUAGGCGGCUCAUGAAGGCUGUGGUGAAAGUCCGGGGCUCAACCUCGGAUCGGCCGUGGCGACUCGUGGGCUGGAGCACUGUAGAGGCGGGUGGGAAUUCCGGGUGUAGCGGUGGAAUGCGUAGAGAUCCGGAAGAACACCAGUGGCGAAGGCGGCCCGCUGGGCAGUGGCUGACGCUGAGGCGCGACAGCGUGGGGAGCAAACAG
RNAcentral lists this ribosomal RNA (253 nucleotides) under uncultured bacterium. RNAcentral's name for it is "partial 16S ribosomal RNA". It matches the Rfam family "Bacterial small subunit ribosomal RNA", at positions 524 to 775 of the family's 1533-position model. The record is from RNAcentral.